UUCUUCACUUUCAGGUCCUGGACACCUGAAGAACCACCCAGCUGCCCCCUGGCAGGGGUCUCAUGAGCCAGCGAGGUACUAGGAUGAGCCCGUGAGUCCAAAGCCCAAGACACUCAGGUGAAGGCUGGAUCAACACUGAGGCCCUACCCUAGAGAUGAAGGGUCGGGGGUAGGGCCAGCAAAGAAGGAAGAAGAUAUUACCAGUUUCUUGCAAAUAUAUCAUCUUUACUUGGUAAAAG
This 238-nucleotide long non-coding RNA is filed under the name Fukomys damarensis (Damara mole-rat). Its description in RNAcentral is "lncRNA (ENSFDAG00000028814.1)". Lineage: Eukaryota; Metazoa; Chordata; Mammalia; Rodentia; Bathyergidae. The record is from RNAcentral.